Molecule: ribosomal RNA, 468 nt
Filed under: uncultured bacterium
Lineage: Bacteria
Description: partial 16S ribosomal RNA
Rfam family: Bacterial small subunit ribosomal RNA
Source: RNAcentral
GACGAACGCUGGCGGCGUGCUUAACACAUGCAAGUCGAACGGAAAGGCCCUGCUUUUGUGGGGUGCUCGAGUGGCGAACGGGUGAGUAACACGUGAGUAACCUGCCCUUGACUUUGGGAUAACUUCAGGAAACUGGGGCUAAUACCGGAUAGGAGCUCCUGCUGCAUGGUGGGGGUUGGAAAGUUUCGGCGGUUGGGGAUGGACUCGCGGCUUAUCAGCUUGUUGGUGGGGUAGUGGCUUACCAAGGCUUUGACGGGUAGCCGGCCUGAGAGGAUGACCGGCCACAUUGGAACUGGGCUACGGCCAAGACUCCUACGGGAGGCAGCAGUGGGGAAUAUUGCACAAUGGGCGGAAGCGUGAUGCAGCAACGCCGCGUGCGGGAUGACGGCCUUCGGGUUGUAAACCGCUUUCGCCGGUGACGAAGCGUGAGUGACGGUAAUGGGUAAAGAAGCACCGGCUAACUACGUG